UCGGUUUCUCUCUGAUUAGAUGUCAUUGGCAAUCUUUGGGGUUGUUUUGGCUGUAUAAUAUAGAAUGGAUGAAUAGUUAACUAUGACUGACAUUUGUACGUCAUUUGUAAAUGAUCAAUCUAGGAGUAGUCAAAUAGCACUUGAACGUGCACCUUUGUGUGUGGGUUUAUUAUCUCAUUAUUGCAAAUAAUGCAUAAUUGGAAUUCCCUUAGAAACAUUACAUCUUAAUUAUGUUUCCAAAACAGAUAUGCUUACUGAAACUUACAUUGAGUUCGUGCGGCAGAUCUUCUCGUGGGAUUUCUCAUCAAUGCCAUUCUGAAGCUAAGAGGGGUGCCUGAGAAAUUGUGCACUUAUUCAGUGAUGGUAUGGCUUUUGAAUCCAUUUACCUUUACCAUUGGAACUCGUGGGAAUUGUGAACCCAUCAUCUGCGCCAUAAUCCUUUGGAUUAUAUUAUGUCUAAUGAAGGGUAAAACUUCUAGGUCCUUUUGUUUAUCUCUAGCAUGGUUAUGUUGAGAAUUUACUCCCAAAUUCUUAUUUUCCGUUGUUAGUUUACUCCCCUACUGUUACUCUCUGUGAUAUUAUCUCUUUCAGAAUGGUCCGCCUCCUUCUUAACGUACCUUAAUUAUCAUUGGAGCAAUGGAAACCACAGUAAGGAGGGAAAGUAUGAAGGGGGAAGUAUUUACACUAUCAGAAUCAUGGUUUAGGCAAUGAAUUGUCAUCAAACACCUAUCAAGACUGUCUUUCUCCCACUCAACCCCAGGGAUAGGUGUAUAAUGAACCAACACAAUAUUAAGAGCCAGUGAAUGAGGUUUUAGCAAGCUAACAAUGUAAGAUGAAUAUUAUUCUUUUAUCAUUAGGACUUGGUUUCUCCAAUUAAAAAAUGAAUCAAGAUUUGUAACUGAAUCUGCAUCUGUUUCAUUUAACAGCUAUUAUACAAUUUGAAAUUAUAGCGAGCCUCUAGUUUAAAGCAAAAAUAGAAACCAAGAAUCUUAACUCUGGAACUUUAUAGGGUUAAACAGCAAAUUCAUUUAAUUGAGAGUGUUUCCGCAAAUCCUCCGAUAUUUUGGGUCAGAUUACUGUGUUCUCACUUGGGUUAGUAGGGACUGUGGCUCCGUAUUUUUCUUUGUAAUUUUAAAUCUUCAUGCUCUACUGAUUUGGUUGUGUUUCCCUGAUCAGGUCGUUUAGUACAAGCUGCAUUUUGGUAUGGGCUUGUCGUCCACAUCAGAAUCUAUCCAAUAAUUUAUGCUCUUCCGGCUAUAGGUCCUAAGCCUAGGGUUUAUCGAAAACAGCCCCUCUACUUCUCCUGAAGUAGUGGUAUAGUCUGCGUACACUCUACUCUCCUCAGACCCGCUAUGUAGGAGUACACUCGGUAUGUUUUUGUUGCAAAGGUUCCAUUUUUAUCUACUCUUUCUUGUUUUCCCUCAUAGAAAUGCUUCUUAUAUGUGGUUUCCAAGAGAUUUUAGCCUGAGAUUUUAGCCUCUCUCGGUUUCUCUCUGAUUAGAUGUCAUUGGCAAUCUUUGGGGUUGUUUUGGCUGUAUAAUAUAGAAUGGAUGAAUAGUUAACUAUGACUGACAUUUGUACGUCAUUUGUAAAUGAUCAAUCUAGGAGUAGUCAAAUAGCACUUGAACGUGCACCUUUGUGUGUGGGUUUAUUAUCUCAUUAUUGCAAAUAAUGCAUAAUUGGAAUUCCCUUAGAAACAUUACAUCUUAAUUAUGUUUCCAAAACAGAUAUGCUUACUGAAACUUACAUUGAGUUCGUGCGGCAGAUCUUCUCGUGGGAUUUCUCAUCAAUGCCAUUCUGAAGCUAAGAGGGGUGCCUGAGAAAUUGUGCACUUAUUCAGUGAUGGUAUGGCUUUUGAAUCCAUUUACCUUUACCAUUGGAACUCGUGGGAAUUGUGAACCCAUCAUCUGCGCCAUAAUCCUUUGGAUUAUAUUAUGUCUAAUGAAGGGUAAAACUUCUAGGUCCUUUUGUUUAUCUCUAGCAUGGUUAUGUUGAGAAUUUACUCCCAAAUUCUUAUUUUCCGUUGUUAGUUUACUCCCCUACUGUUACUCUCUGUGAUAUUAUCUCUUUCAGAAUGGUCCGCCUCCUUCUUAACGUACCUUAAUUAUCAUUGGAGCAAUGGAAACCACAGUAAGGAGGGAAAGUAUGAAGGGGGAAGUAUUUACACUAUCAGAAUCAUGGUUUAGGCAAUGAAUUGUCAUCAAACACCUAUCAAGACUGUCUUUCUCCCACUCAACCCCAGGGAUAGGUGUAUAAUGAACCAACACAAUAUUAAGAGCCAGUGAAUGAGGUUUUAGCAAGCUAACAAUGUAAGAUGAAUAUUAUUCUUUUAUCAUUAGGACUUGGUUUCUCCAAUUAAAAAAUGAAUCAAGAUUUGUAACUGAAUCUGCAUCUGUUUCAUUUAACAGCUAUUAUACAAUUUGAAAUUAUAGCGAGCCUCUAGUUUAAAGCAAAAAUAGAAACCAAGAAUCUUAACUCUGGAACUUUAUAGGGUUAAACAGCAAAUUCAUUUAAUUGAGAGUGUUUCCGCAAAUCCUCCGAUAUUUUGGGUCAGAUUACUGUGUUCUCACUUGGGUUAGUAGGGACUGUGGCUCCGUAUUUUUCUUUGUAAUUUUAAAUCUUCAUGCUCUACUGAUUUGGUUGUGUUUCCCUGAUCAGGUCGUUUAGUACAAGCUGCAUUUUGGUAUGGGCUUGUCGUCCACAUCAGNNNNNNNNNNNNNNNNUCCGAUCAUUUUAGUUCUUGAUCCCCUGUUCUUCCAGUAUGGUACAAAACCUGCUCUUGUGAAUUGGAGUUCUAGAAAAAGCAAGUCACAGCAGACUUCGAGCUGUAAAAAACUUAUCGAUCCUUGUUGUAUAUGCAACUUUUUAACAAGCCUUUUCACCUGGAGGAGGAUAAUGUUUGGGCUUAUUUCUGGAGCUCUGUUCUUUCUCCUUACGGGGCUUUUCUUCUUUUUAUAUGGCUGGGACUUCUUGCAUGAAGCACUGCUCUAUCAUCUUACACGUGCAGACCCAAGGCACAACUUUUCAAUUUAUUUCUACCAUAUAUAUCUGCACUAUGAACAUGAGUUAUCAAACUUGGAAAAGCUCGUCUCAUUUCUGCCUCAGAUUAUAGUGCAGCUAGUUCUUGUUUUCCGCUUUGCGCAGGAUUUUCCAUUUUGCUUCUUUGUGCAGACUGUGGCAUUUGUUGCGUUUAACAAGGUUUGUCAGCAAUGCUUGAAUCAGUUUUUGUUGAGAACCAGUAAAUAUUAGCUUGAUUUUCCUUUAGCGAGAUAAUGUGUUUUUUCCUCUGACAGGUUAUGACUGCUCAAUACUUUGUUUGGUUCUUCUGUCUCUUGCCACUAAUCCUACCAUGGACCAACAUGAAGCUCGGAGGAAAAGGAUUGGUCUGCAUCUUGGUGUGGAUGGCAGCUCAGGGUCACUGGUUAUUGUGGGGUUAUUUGCUUGAAUUUAAAGGAAAGAACGUCUUUCUUCAACUCUGGGUGGCAGGCUUGCUAUUCUUGGCUGCAAAUACUUUCGUUCUAAUCAAUAUUAUCCAGCAGCAUACAUAUAGUCCAAUCUUCCAAGUCCACCAGUCAUCUCGUGCCACUUCAAAGAAACAUGUCAAACAGAGAUGAGGAAUCAGAUCAUAUACAUCCUAAUUCAGAUCAUCACAUGGGUGGGAGUUUUCGAGCUAUUAGUGUAGCCAUGUUCGGGACUUGUAGAGCCUUUCAUCAUCAAGCAAAGCACUUGACUUUUUCAUAGCUCCAAAAUGGGUGCUGCUUAAAGUUAGAACUGUCUGCGCUGAAGAUGUAGCAAGAGAUCUUAAUGACAUUAUUUUUUGAACUUUUGGUCAUGUUGUGUAGUGCAUACUUCACUACAAUAGCAAUUUACAAAUGUCUAUUGCAAUUUUGUUGCAUUUAGUAUAGUUGAAUAUUUAUUAAUUCCAGUUUACUUCUCAUUUUAGUUUGUUUUUCAUUUCACACCCUUGCUAGAGUUAAGCUAGCUAGAGGAGUGAUGUCACAUCAUUUCCAUCUGCAUAGCUUGCUUAAGUUUCUCUGUAAAGCCAAUAUUAUUGGUAUAAUAAAGAUAUCUCUUUUUCUGUUCCUUUCAUUUUCCAGUUACUCUUUCUUUCAAUUUCUAGUUUCUCUUCUCCUAUGUUUUCAUUCCUUCAUUUCCUGUUGCCUUGUUUUCUAGUGUGAUUUCUUGUAGCUAAUUUUGCUACAAAUUGUAUCAGAGCAUAGCCGGGGAGAUUCCAUAAUACAUACCGGUUCAGCUCAUUGUCAAAUUACAGGCGCAGAUUUCACCCCUAAUGUGUAUCUGGAUGCCAAAGUUGUAGGAGAUUCUGUGGAGAAUUUGGAUUGGGAGGAUAAAUCAAAAGCAAGGCCAAGGACCCAGCAUUUCCCGAGGAGAAUGAAUAGUCUGUUGGAAGAUCAUGAACGGAGUGGGCUCCUUAAAGCCGAGAAUGAAGGGAGUGAUCUGUUUGGUUGGAGAGCCCUAAUAAACAGCAGUUGAAAUUACUAUCCACGCGAGAGUCUUCUGAAAUAUUUAUAGAUCUCUUCCUCUGGAAAAUACGCAGGACCUGGAACCUCCAGUGGACAUAUCUCUCUGGUAAAGAAAGACAAGCAAUGUGUUACACAGAAUCACUGUUCUGCUCAUACAGUACAGAUAGAAAUAACAGGAAGCUUGUUUCUUAACAGGAUAUUUUAUGAUUUAGUUGCAAUGAUUGAGACUUGGGACUCAGGAAAGGCGUAUGAACUGGUUAUUGAAAUUAAAUUGCUCCUAGUUAUUGGCCUCCUUGGUCAUGAUGCUCGCGGAGCGGAUUAAUUUCAUGGUAUAUUUAUAUUCAAACUUCUAAUAAACCAUCUGGAGUUGCUGUUCAUGAGUUUUUUAUUCCUCUUAUCAUGCUUGCCUUGCACCAUCAAUGCACUCUAUUCUAAUGCGCCUAUUGUUAAACUGAUAUACUAUUGGUCGGUGUCAACUUUCUUUCACUCUAUUAUUCUUGUUAUAUGGGCAAAGGUGGAAAGGUGAGAAAGGUGGUAAUUAUAUUAACAUAGGUGCACGGCCACCUCUAGAAUGUAUUUUUAAACUCAGGAGAAAAAUGGUAGCUAUAAAAGAUGAAGCUUAUUCCGGCACUACAUUUACAAAUGAGUGAUAUUGUCAAAGAUGUCUUAGAAAAAGAGAGCUGCAGUUGUAUGGGUAAGAGAUUUCUCCUUAUUAUGCUCUCCAGUGCUUAGCGGUGAACCUUGCAAGGAAUAAGUUAUAAUUUGUUUCACUGGAAACCAAAGGAACUGGGUGGUGUGAUGAAGAGGAUAACGCUCUGUGCUUGCUUCCAAUAUUUAAUUGUCCUUGUUCAAUCAAGUUAUUGCAAUAGGUAAUGUGAUUGUUGUGUUGUUACUUUAUUACUACUUCAAUGGUGGUUGGUAGUAGUACCAGCAGCUACUGCGACUCAGACAGGCAGACAGAUGGAUUAGAGUCCCUUGGUACUGGCAUGUGGGACAUUUGAAGCCGCCUUUCAGUCACAGUUUAAUCACUUUGACAAUGCAUCUUUUCGCCAUGAUCACACACACACAAAUAUAAUUGAUCUUGUAGCAAACAAUAACUACAAGCUAACAACUACCAAGUAGUUCGCUACUUAUUUAUUUAGACUAGAAUUGGGAGAGCCUUUCACCCAGAGGGAAAGCCCUUUCAAAAAUUCUCGAUGGCCAAGGCGUUCACCAAGGCCAAAGAGGGGGUUUGGAAAUAGUUUUCAACCAGCAAUAGACGCGCCUCGGUUAGAACCUCACUAGCUGCGUCAUUGCCCCAAGCGCAAAGAUAAGCUGUCUCCUUAUUCUGCCAUCCCUUUUAUAUCCCUCUUCCCUCUAAUAUUGGGUUGAUGUUGCCGAUGUGGGACAAAAUUAAUAACCGACUCAUUGCUACCAUACGGCCAAUCACGUACCAAACUUAAUAGAAAAGGUUAGUAACCCAAUGAUUAUUCGCAAUAAAAUGAUAAAGCAAAGCAAGACUGAAAGGUUUGUUUUACCUUGAUGGUAACUGGAAUUAAAAACAUAAGGAUAAUAAAUUAGAUCCAGAGACUAGUACACUUGUUUAAUUCGGAUGGUUGUACUCUAUUGUGUUGUUAGUUUAAAUAUAAUAUUUGUUUCAGCUAUUACUUAAAUUUUAUUGUAUCAUUAAAUUUAUUAUUAAGUACCGAUGAAAAGUCUCAACGAUCAAUUUGGUGUGAUUGUUUUUUUAUCUUUUUUUUUUUUUCUUCUCAUUUCCUCUUUACUUAAUAUCUAAUAAUUUAUUGUAUCUUUUACCUUAUCUUUUCUACUAGUUUUACCCAGUACCCAACUUUCUUUAGGUAUGCCCUUUGUUUUCUUCUUUGUCCCUUAAUUUUUGGCUUCUCUUUACAAUUUUCAUGUGAUUUAUGUUUAUUAUUAUUUAUUGAGACAGCUAGAUAAAUGAGAGAUAAUCUUUUGAUGAUCCAAGAUUUUUGGUUUGUUAAUUUUGAAUUAAGUUUUUAUAUUGUAUUUUCUAUAAAAAGAAGGUUUCUAAUUUCAAGAUAAUGCAAAGGUUCCAUUUUGUUAUUGUUUGUUGUUUCUUGUACCUCGAUUAUUGAUUUGUUUUGUUGUAGUUUGUGUUAUGUUGUUAUUUGUUAUUUUUGUUAUUAUUUGUUGUUUCUUGUACUUCCGUCACUUCUUUUUCGGGACUGCUUUUCUUGAGUUGAGGGUCUAUUGAAACAGCCUCUCGACCUCUGAGGUUGGGAUAAGAUCUGCGUACACUCUACUCUCCUCAGACCCGCUAUGUAGGAGUACACUCGGUAUGUUUUUGUUGCAAAGGUUCCAUUUUUAUCUACUCUUUCUUGUUUUCCCUCAUAGAAAUGCUUCUUAUAUGUGGUUUCCAAGAGAUUUUAGCCUCUCUCGGUCUCUCUCUGAUUAGGUGUCAUUGGCAAUCUUUGGGGUUGUUUUGGCUGUAUAACUAAGAAUGGACGAAUUGUUAAUUGUGACUGGCAUUUGUACGUCAUUUGUAAAUGAUCAAUGUAGGAGUAGUCAAAUAGCUCUUGAACUUGCACCUUUAUAUGUGGGUUUAUUAUCUCCUUAUUGCAAAUAAUACAUAAUUGGAAUUCUCUUAGAAACAUUACACCUUAAUUAUGUUUCCAAAACAGAUAUGCUUACUGAAACUUACAUUGAGUUCGUGCGGCA
Molecule: long non-coding RNA, 7160 nt
Filed under: Capsicum annuum
Lineage: Eukaryota; Viridiplantae; Streptophyta; Magnoliopsida; Solanales; Solanaceae
Description: long non-coding RNA (CANN_LNC003610)
Source: RNAcentral